GACGAACGCUGGCGGCGUGCUUAACACAUGCAAGUCGAACGGUAAGGCCCUUCGGGGUACACGAGUGGCGAACGGGUGAGUAACACGUGGGUGAUCUGCCCUGCACUUCGGGAUAAGCCUGGGAAACUGGGUCUAAUACCGGAUAGGACCACUGCCUGCAUGGGUGGUGGUGGAAAGCUUUUGCGGUGUGGGAUGGGCCCGCGGCCUAUCAGCUUGUUGGUGGGGUGAUGGCCUACCAAGGCGACGACGGGUAGCCGGCCUGGGAGGGUGACCGGCCACACUGGGACUGGGAUACGGCCCAGACUCCUACGGGAGGCAGCAGUGGGGAAUAUUGCACAAUGGGCGCAAGCCUGAUGCAGCGACGCCGCGUGAGGGAUGACGGCCUUCGGGUUGUAAACCUCUUACAGCACCGACGAAGCGCAAGUGACGGUAGGUGCAGAAGAAGGACCGGCCAACUACGUGCCAGCCGCCGCAGUAA
This 478-nucleotide ribosomal RNA is filed under the name uncultured bacterium. RNAcentral's name for it is "partial 16S ribosomal RNA". It matches the Rfam family "Bacterial small subunit ribosomal RNA", at positions 28 to 523 of the family's 1533-position model. The record is from RNAcentral.